RNAcentral lists this ribosomal RNA (497 nucleotides) under uncultured bacterium. RNAcentral describes it as "partial 16S ribosomal RNA". It matches the Rfam family "Bacterial small subunit ribosomal RNA", at positions 28 to 507 of the family's 1533-position model. The record is from RNAcentral.
GAUGAACGCUGGCGGCGUGCCUAAUACAUGCAAGUCGAGCGAACGGACGAGAAGCUUGCUUCUCUGAUGUUAGCGGCGGACGGGUGAGUAACACGUGGAUAACCUACCUAUAAGACUGGGAUAACUUCGGGAAACCGUAGCUAAUACCGGAUAUUAUUUUGAACCGCUUGGUUCAAAAGUGAAAGACGGUCUUGCUGUCACUUAUAGAUGGAUCCGCGCUGCAUUAGCUAGUUGGUAAGGUAACGGCUUACCAAGGCAACGAUGCAUAGCCGACCUGAGAGGGUGAUCGGCCACACUGGAACUGAGACACGGUCCAGACUCCUACGGGAGGCAGCAGUAGGGAAUCUUCCGCAAUGGGCGAAAGCCUGACGGAGCAACGCCGCGUGAGUGAUGAAGGUCUUCGGAUCGUAAAACUCUGUUAUUAGGGAAGAACAUAUGUGUAAGUAACUGUGCACAUCUUGACGGUACCUAAUCAGAAAGCCACGGCUAACUACGUG